Molecule: ribosomal RNA, 446 nt
Filed under: uncultured bacterium
Lineage: Bacteria
Description: partial 16S ribosomal RNA
Rfam family: Bacterial small subunit ribosomal RNA
Source: RNAcentral
CCUACGGGUGGCAGCAGUCGAGAAUCAUUCACAAUGGGGGAAACCCUGAUGGUGCGACGCCGCGUGGGGGAAUGAAGGUCUUCGGAUUGUAAACCCCUGUCAUGUGGGAGCAAAUUAAAAAGAUAGUACCACAAGAGGAAGAGACGGCUAACUCUGUGCCAGCAGCCGCGGUAAUACAGAGGUCUCAAGCGUUGUUCGGAUUCACUGGGCGUAAAGCGUGCGUAGGCUGUUUCGUAAGUCGUGUGUGAAAGGCGCGGGCUCAACCCGCGGACGGCACAUGAUACUGCGAGACUAGAGUGAUGGAGGGGGAACCGGAAUUCUCGGUGUAGCAGUGAAAUGCGUAGAUAUCGAGAGGAACACUCGUGGCGAAGGCGGGUUCCUGGACAUUAACUGACGCUGAGGCACGAAGGCGAGGGGAGCGAAAGGGAUUAGAUACCCGAGUAGUC